UUCUGCUAUUGUGUUGAGAAACGCAGAGUCCCUGGUUUCUCCCAUGUAUACAUGUUAUUAAACUUGGUAUUAUUUUCUCCUGCUAACCUGUCUUGUUAAUUAUUGGCCAGCCAUAAGAACCUUAAGGGAAGGGGCAGAGGGGGAUUCUCCCUCUUCCCCCACACUUGACAAGCGGUGUGUCGGUGCACACCAGGGAUCCAAACCCACGAACCCUGGGCCACCAAAGCUGAGCGCGUGCACUUAACCACUGCAUCACUGGCUGGCCCCACAUUUCGUUUUUUGAUGGUGUCAUUCCUGCUCCUCUACGUCCAGCUUCACUGACUCUUUCCUUUGUCGUCUUCAUUCUGCUGUUGGGCCCACCCAAGACAUUUUAAUUGAAGUUUCCCUGUUAUUUUCUCAGGAGGGAAAAUCUCCCUCCCUUUUCAGCCCAGCACAAUGGAAUUUAUGCCCAAACAUCCUCAUCAGAUUGCCAAAGCAUCCUGCAGGGACAUAAUGGAGCUAUUUAAUGCCCCAGAGGUGGAAAAAAACGGAUCCUCAGAGCAUGGCUCCCUGCUGCACCUCACGUGAAAGAUAUGCCCUACAAAAUUCCUGCAGUGACAGAGAAAAGCCAGUUGGUGCCUCACGUCCCCUGAGAAGAAUUGUCUUCAGCUGAAUUGCAUAGGGAGCUCUCUGGAAACAUCACAGCAAUGCAUAAAACAGGAAAUGUGGGUUGUUCACAUCAAAGACAUUCCAAAUGCAGGUUUGACAGUAAUGGAAGUCCUUUCUCUUUUGAUUUUUAAUUCCAAGUUUAAUUACUGCCCAGAGAGAUAUUCCUGAAGAGUUAUGCUGGGCUAUUUUACUUAUGUUGCCUUGAAUGAUCUUCACAAUCCCAGGGGAAAACACCGGAAUUAACCUUAUUUUAUAGGUGGCACUGGGAACCCCCGCACUGGACUGCCUCUGACACCAGUGAAGAAGAAGACAGCCCACCAGGCUCUUCUGUAGGACUCCAUCUGUGGAAAUAUUUUUCCCUUCAACACACUUAUUGAGAAUCUAUUACGUGCAAGCUUGUGUGACAAAGCUCAGUAAAUGUUUAUUAAACUGAACGGGACUGAAUCGCGGUUCAAGAGUGCAGAAGCUGGUUGAGCAAGGAGCCCUGUCCUCCAGGCACAAGCCCUGCCCCCAAAGAAGAGGGAAAUAUAACUGCCCAUAAGUGACUCCAAUUCAAGGCUGAAACAUGCUACAAAAAUGACAACUAAGUAUCCUAUGUGAGUCUGGUACAGUGAGAAAUCGUCUGACCUGCAGACGGCUCUAUUUAAGACUAUGGUAAACCCAAGGAUGUUCUAUUGUCCAACAAUAGGGGACAACUAGAUAAAUUGCUAUGUACUCACACAAUGUAAUUUUAAACAGCUGUUUAAAAUUAUGCGGCAGCAGAAAAACAUCUAUUGGUGAGGAAAGAUGUACAGCAUACAAAAGUGAAAAACAAAACAGAAAGUGAAAAUAUCAGGUUAUGUAGAUAAGGUUACACAUCAUCUAUUUUUGAAAAACAACAGAUACACAUAUAAAGGUGCACACGAUAUGCAUAUGCUUAUAUGAGCAUCAAAGACACAUAUGAGAUUCAUGUGUUUGUAUGCAUAUUAAAGACACAUAUUAUGUACAUAUGUGUGUGUCUAUGAAAGUCACACGUGUCAUGUAUGGGUAUGUGCAUAGGAAAGACAUAUAUGAUAAACAUGUAUGUCUACAUGCAUGUGAAUGAACCAUCUGGUGUACAUAUGUGUUUGUGUACAUACGGAAGACACAUGAUGUGUGCAUUUAUAUGUUUAUAUACAAGACAAUAUGAUAUACAUAUGUGUUUGCCUCUACAGGGGAGAGCCAUAUGAUGUAUUCACAUGUUUGUGUGCAAAUGAAAGAUGCAUAUGUAUGUGUAUAAUUGUAUGCAUAUGAAAGAUACCUCUGGUGUACAUAUAUGUUCGUGUGCAUAUGGAAGACAUGAUGUGUGGAUAUGUUUAUAUAUAAGACCCAAACUGUGUGUACAGUCGUCUCUCAGUAUCUGAGGGUUUCACAUCCUCAGAUUCAACCAACUGCAGAUCAAAAUUUCACAGAUACAGGGGAAUUGAAUUGAAUCUAUGGAUGCAAAACCCUGGGAUCUAGAGGGCCAACUGUACUCAUUGUACUACAGCAUUUUACAUAACGGACUGGAGCAUCUGCAGAUUUUGGGAUCUGCAGGGGUCCUGGAACCAAUCUCCCUCGGAUACCAAGGGACGACUGUGUAUGUUUGCACACACAUGGGAGACACUCAUAUGUUUGUAUGCAUGUGAAAGACACAACCAAUAGGUUGGCAGUGGUCAUAUUUAGAUGAUUGGAAUUAUAGCUGUUUGAUAUGGUUCAUUUGCUCAUCUAUUUUUUCUGAUGUUUCUGUAAUGUGCAUGUAAUUUUUUUGUAAUGAGUGGUAACAAUAUACAACACUCCAUUUCAGAAGCACUCCACAUUUUACAGGUUCAAUAUCUUCCACAACUAGGGAAUGCGUUUGGUUUUAAGAGAGAACUAGGCACACACACUUAAUAGAAUAAAAGUAGCCUUCUGAAAAAUAGUUCACUUCAUUGUGAAUAAACAAAAGCAUUUAUUCAGGGGAUAGUGGAUUUAAGAGUUAAGGAGAACUUUAAAUAUGACUUUAGAAAGAGAGUUUUUGGCUACCGGAACACCCUCCUCACCUUCCCCAAUACCUUUUCUGAGGGCCUGAUAUAACAACAAAUUUCCAAUCCUUGCGGGGGGCACACUUGUAGAGGAAAUAUUAUUGUCCAGUUGAUAUCAAGUUUUUGUUUCAAUUCAACUGCUCAGCAUUUCACACGUCUGUCUAAUUUCAGCUUUUGUUUUUGUUAGUAUUUUAUUGUCUUUCAAAAAAAGACAUAUGAUAAAUAUAUAAUAAAAUUUGGAUUAUUGCCAAAUAGUACCCAUGUGCAUCUUAAAUUCAGUUGAGGUGAAUCUUAAAACAAUAAGCUGGCUGAUAUAAAUGUUCAAAAGUAUCCACCUUUUAUCAUUUUUAACAGAAUUUAGUGCCACUUGGUACAUGCAGAGGUUAUAAAAAUGACUAAUUUCUAAAAAUAGAAAUACCUUAUGAUCUAGCUAUCCCACUUCUGGGUAUUUAUCCAAAGAACUUGAAAUCAACAAUCCAAAGAGGCUUAUGCACCCCUAUGUUCGUAGCAGCAUUAUUCACUAUAGCCAAGACGUGGAAGCAACCCAAGUGUCCAUCAACAGAUGAUUGGAUAAAGAAAAUGUGGUGUAUAUAUAUACAAUGGAAUAAUACUCAGCCAUAAAAGAAGAUAAAAUUGUCCCGUUUGCAACAACAUGGAUGGACCUGGAGGGUAUUAUGUUAAGUGAAAUAAGCCAGACAGAGAAAGACAAACACUGUAUGACCUCUCUCAUAUGUGGAAGAUAAACUAACACACGGACAGAGAGAACAGUUUGGUGGUUACUGGGGGAAGG
This is a long non-coding RNA of Diceros bicornis minor, 3459 nucleotides long. RefSeq lists it as uncharacterized. NCBI's taxonomy places the organism in Eukaryota, Metazoa, Chordata, Mammalia, Perissodactyla, Rhinocerotidae. The transcript has 6 exons. The record is from RefSeq and is a predicted model, not a curated record.